RNAcentral lists this ribosomal RNA (583 nucleotides) under uncultured bacterium. Its description in RNAcentral is "bacterial SSU rRNA". It matches the Rfam family "Bacterial small subunit ribosomal RNA", at positions 874 to 1456 of the family's 1533-position model. The record is from RNAcentral.
AAUCCACCCGUUUUGAGUACGUUCGCAAGAAUGAAACUCAAAGGAAUUGACGGGGGCCCGCACAAGCGGAGGAACAUGUGGUUUAAUUCGAUGAUACGCGAGGAACCUUACCUGGACUUAAAUGUAUAUUGACCGGUUUAGAAAUAGAUCUUUCCUUCGGGACAAUUUACAAGGUGCUGCAUGGUUGUCGUCAGCUCGUGCCGUGAGGUGUCGGGUUAAGUCCCAUAACGAGCGCAACCCCUAUCGUUAGUUGCUAGCAGGUAAUGCUGAGGACUCUAGCGAGACUGCCACCGUAAGGUGAGAGGAAGGUGGGGAUGACGUCAAAUCAGCACGGCCCUUACGUCCAGGGCUACACACGUGUUACAAUGGCCAGUACAAAGGGCAGCUACCAGGUGACUGGAUGCUAAUCUCUAAAGCUGGUCUCAGUUCGGAUCGGAGUCUGCAACUCGACUCCGUGAAGUUGGAUUCGCUAGUAAUCGUAGAUCAGCAACGCUACGGUGAAUACGUUCCCGGGCCUUGUACACACCGCCCGUCUAGCCAUGUAAGCCGAGGGGACCUGAAGUUCGUAACCGCAAGGAGCGAC